RNAcentral lists this long non-coding RNA (354 nucleotides) under Panax ginseng (ginseng). Its description in RNAcentral is "long non-coding RNA (PGIN_LNC006494)". The record is from RNAcentral. Lineage: Eukaryota; Viridiplantae; Streptophyta; Magnoliopsida; Apiales; Araliaceae.
UUCGUAACCAAUCUCCAAACAUCCUCCAAGACAUAAGUACCGGUCAAUUUGUUUCGCCAAGGCUACCAAUUUCACCCAUUUCUCGUACUUUUCAGAGGCACCGUCACAAAAGCCAUAAAUUAAUUUUCAUUUUUUCUCGAAUUUUAUUAUCACCGAAUAUAACUGCAUCUUGCGGUAUGAGUGGCGCCUUCAAAAGUCUUUUUGCUAUCAACCCGAGAAAAAGCCUCAAAGCUUACAUACAGACAAGUGUCUCUCUCUUAAAAGAUUUCUCGAAACAAUGCUCUAUCACUCAAGGGAGCUCCCUUCAUUGCCAUUUGAUUAAAAUGGGUAUUUCAUCUGACAAUUAUAUAGCCG